UAUAGUUAUUAUCGAAUUAUGUCACUGCUUAGCCAAUAACCAAUAAUAACGUGUGACGAUGAAGUGGAAUAAAAUGAGACAAGUAAAUACUUUGUCUAGCCAUCUUUUGGCAAACGCACAGUACUUAGAUACAUAUAAUAUAACAUAUAACUCAUAUUCCUGCCUGAAGAGGUCAGCUUGACGCACGAAAAAGAUGGCGAUUUUUUAAGCGUACCGGAAACAUCCAUGAAAAUUGUGUGCACGGCGGCGCAUGAAAUCACGGCAGACGUUGGCCGUGUAGCGUGUUUAUCGACACGAGUGUUAUCGCGGUCGGAUCUUGCGCGAAGAGCAGCGCUCGUUCGGGUGGUACCAAUUUGUCGUUCCUUUAUCAACCGUCAUCUGAUGGCGACCCGACACCGCGCUGGGCCGCGGCCAACCGAAUGCAACGUUGCCUUGAAGUGACACCGGGCCUACAAUGGGGAACAAAGCGGCGUCCACUUCUUUGCCAAGGGUUUUGUUUCAUUCCGCGGUGGACAAGCCUUGUUAUUUGUCAUGCAUUUUGACCCUCGCCGAUUUCAUCUCGGAUAUUUUUCUCUGCCUGGUAGAGGUGCUCGCGCGCCAAUUCUAAAGAAGGUUCGUACACGCGUGUCUUUGAGAACCGAGUGUUUUUCGCGAGAAGAAAGUGAACGGUGUAUAAUAAAAAAUUGAUUUUAAUUUACAACGAGAAAUGUUCCUGUUAUUUCUAAUUGAAACGAUGUGGAUGAUUGACUAAGACGAUUAUAUCGACAGUUAUUAUAUCAAGAUAACUGAUUUUUUACACUGGCUAGAAAUAAUAGAAAUUGAAUUUGCAAGAAUAUACAAGCUAAAGAGAAGAUACAAGCAUCUUGUACCAUCGAUGCAGGUUCAAUCACAGAGUACAAGUACAAGUCCAAUGGCGUAAUCUUCCUUCAUGUCACUCGAUCAUCGUUCAGAUGAAUUUACAGUUUCACACUUAACGGGCCAUUAUGAUGUUAAUGGCGUUAUUAAUUACUGGAAGAGACACCUCCAAGCUUCGAUGAAGGUUUCCACAGUACGAUACAAUCGCGGCGAGGAGGCUCCAUUAACCUUUAAACAGAUGCUGAGAAAAAUGAAUAAUGAGUCGUGCAAUCGCGAUUUCAGAUGUUAAAAUAAUAAGCCGUAGAAUGUGAUCGCAUACGAUGUAGGUAUCAAUUAUUUAUGAAUGACACGGGACAAUUUUUCUACAAAGCUUCACACGAGUAACGAACCGGAACUAACGACCAAAUUAAACGUAUCUUUUGGGAAUAUCACGAUAUCUACAUUUCUUUUUGUAACGUAAUACCACUGAAUUAAGCAUUAAGUUAAGUUAAAAGGAUAAUACGUCGUGAAAUUUGAUCAGAAAUAUCAAAAAGAUUGGCCAUUUAUUAUUAUAUAAUUCUCAUUUGAAAAAUUAUAAUGAGCUUAAUUUGCAUUUUAGAAAAUAUAAGACAAAUUAUCAAUUUGUAUAUUACUGGAAAAAAAAAAGAAAAAUAAAUGGAUUUUUCUUAAAUUUCUAAUUUUUAAGAAGAUGAGAAAUAAAAGAUAAGCAGUAACAUCCAUUAAAUAAAUAAAUGAAUAAAUGAAAAGCCAAGAUCGAGAACAAAGAAAAGAAAAAGAGAGAUGCACAAGGCGGAAGUCUCCAUGCGUCCAAGGGUUAGCGGUCCAUGUAAGAAAAUGCUCGGUAUAAGGCACCUUCCGGCGAAAAUCCCUCGCUCUCUCGUGCCUCUCUCGCUGAAUAAUGAACCGUGUUCUCGAGUGGUUUGCGCGGUCGAGCGACCGGUCCCGUUUCCGUAAAUUAUAACCAUUAGCGGCACUUGCGUUCCGCGGCCUCACGUCCCGGUAAUUUUCGUGAAAUUAAACGCGCCGAAUCAAUUACUCGUUGGUAAUCGGGACGAUGGCCGGACAACCGCGGUGGGAAAUGGCGUGCGCGGCUGUCACCGUGCCAGGUUAUCUGCGUUUGUCAAGCGUGUGCGCACAACUUGGUAUCGUCACGAAACAUUCCCAUAAAAGUGUAAUUUGCCCGCUGAUUUUUGCCACGGUGUGUGUACAAUGUGGUUGGCUCAGCGGCGGGAACGACAAGAGGAUAAUUGGAGUUGGCAACCGGUUCCUCGAGCACUUCCGUUCAUAAAUAAGUUAUCGAUAUAUACUUUUUGAAUAUACGCGAGAUGAUUCGGGAUACUUUUUGUAAUCUUGCGUCGAUUAAAGUUUGUUAACGUUUGAAAGUUAAUGUUUUGUAUAAUUUCGAUGUGUGGGACAAUGGUUCUCAACUUUUACUAAUGUAAUCUUGCGUUAUUCAGAUAUUCGAUUUAUUCUUGCGUUCAUUUUUAAUAUAUAAAAUUUUAUAUAUAAAAAAUGAUAGUUUUCAAUCUGAUAAGACCUGUAAAUAGAUUGUGAAACGUUUCUC
This is a long non-coding RNA of Apis cerana (Asiatic honeybee), 2419 nucleotides long. RefSeq lists it as uncharacterized. NCBI's taxonomy places the organism in Eukaryota, Metazoa, Arthropoda, Insecta, Hymenoptera, Apidae. The record is from RefSeq and is a predicted model, not a curated record.